AAAAAAAAAAAAAAAAACUCCUUUGGUUCACCUUGGAUCACAGGCUUGAUCUUCUCUGUUUUCUUUGGCACACACCUAAACGAUCCAGGGACAUUCACACAAGUUUGUCCUCCACACCUGCUUUGUCCUAAUUCUCCCUCACAUUCAUCAAUGUCUAGAGAACAAUUACAAAAAUGGCAGAAUCAAAUCAACAGAUCCAUAAUAAAAAUAAUUAAACAACAUUGAAGUCAAAUAAGAUGAAGAUCUUACCAACACAUCCACCCUGAAGAUACGGAUUCCCUUCGUAACCGUCAUUGCAGAAACAGCUACUGUGACCAAACCCAGAUAAGUAACUAUCCUCGCAAACACAACUUGAUUCGCUCGUGUCAUAAUCAUCACCCGUCAAAUUAAAACAACCCACUGGCUUCGCUAACUGAGUAACUGAUGCAUCAAAGAACCAUCCAAGCUCGAUCACAGUAAACCCAUUACUAGAAAUUUGCUCCGGCUGGAUAACAUUCGCCGGAGAGUAAGUCUCCUUCGUCAAGAAAGCGACUUUACAGCUCCCUCCUUGAGUUGUGUUACCACCAGCGGAGCUUUCUAAGUCAACGCCGAUCACUUGCGGUCUAUCCGCCGUGAUCAUCGCCUGACAACAUCUGUAACCACCGCAGAUCUUGUCUAGGCCUAGGCGACUCUUGUUCCUGUCGCAGCUCGAUUCACAUCCUAUGAUCUGAGAUUCGAGGUCGGUAACCAAAGCUCUGGUGUCGCAACCUACAGAGACGAGACGAUUUGACUGGGUGAUGAAAAAGGGGCUUCCUUUACCGGUGAGGUUUAAAGGAAGAGGCUUUUCGUCUCGUUGAGAACAGCCGGAGGAAGUCACCGGAGAUUUGAUGUGAAAGACGCCUUGGGUACUGUCGAUUGUUUUUCGAAGUGUUAUGCUCAUCAAUUCUCUGUUGAUCUUAGAGAGGAACGGAGUGGAGAGGGAGCUGGUGGUACAGACAACCUCGUACCAGUCGUUGAGAUAACAAUGUUUCGGUCCGAUACCGAAAGGGAACGGAAUCGAGAUUCCUCCACAGAAACGAUUACAUAAACUUGAAGAAGGGUCAAGGUUUUUAGCUGUUAUUAACAGUGUUAGGAGAGAGAGUAGAAUACAAAAUAAAAGUCUCUUGUUCUUCAUUAUUUUCUUCUUCUUUUGGCUAUGUUUUUUGGUUUCUUCAUGUCUGUGUUUUGCCUAAAUACUGUGCAUGAAAGUUGGCAAUUAUCAGUGUUACUUUGAAUAUAGCCUCGUUGUAAAUUUUAUACAUCACACUGACAAGUAAUAAAAAACUACUCAACGGUCUGAGAACCCAUGUGCAGGUUAGAGCACUUGCAACUGGGCAUGACAACAAAUCCGUCAGCCCGGUCCGUUGCACUUUUUGGAUUUUUUAACUAAUAUAAACCCAGCCCAUUUGACGGAUUGAUCCGUAAAUUGCAUCUUGACGGACCCGGUCCGUGGGCGACGUGGCGGAAAUAGAUUGGGCGGAGGCGCGAAUGUGUUUGGUCUUGGCGAGAAAAAAAUCGUCAUUUCGACGAAAGCAAAGAAAAAAAAAACCUCUCAACUCUCUAGGGCGAUUGUCGGAUCCCACCUUCGCGAUUCAACUCCGUCUGAUCGUCAAGGUAAGUAGAAGCGUUUUUUUCUAUAUUAAUCGAACUAGAUUGUUUCCAUUUAUAUUCAAUAGAGUUGGAAUCGUUUCGUAUCAAAAUUAGGGUUCGAAAAAAAUCUGCGAUUUGGGGAUUUUUUAUUUUCAAUCGAUUUGCUUUCGUUUCAAUCCAUUUUGUUUUGUUUCAAUCGAUUAUUUUCCGUUUAAAUCAGGUUUCGAUUAGUUUUCGAUCGAUUUAGGGAUUUGAAGACCCUUUUGGGUCUCGAUCGAUUUAGGGAUUUGAAAACCCUUUUGGGUCUCGAUCGAUUUAGGGAUUUGAAAACCGUUUUGGGUCUCGAUCGAUUUAGGGAUUUGUAAAUUGUGCAUUUUUUCCAUUCGAUUUAGGGUUGCGACUCUAUUUAGUGUCGAAUGGUGUUCGUCUUUCUUAUUGUUUUUCAAAAUCAAUGCUAAUCUUUGCUUUUUGCUUGUCUCUUUCUUUGCAGGUUAAGGAAAAUGGGAAGGUAUAGCUAUAGCCAGCCGUCCUCAUCAUCAGCGUCCAUCGACAUCACCUCACUUCUCGACGCUGAAGCUCAGUUGUACGCCGAUGAAGCUCAGAGUAGCUUCGAUAAUGGAGAGCCGUUUCAGAACCAACCUCAACCUGAGGGGGAUGAUGGCAUCCCGACGAUCUGCUACUGUGGGAGUGAGCCGGUUGUUGCUACAGCCUACACGGAAAAAGAUCCAGGCCGUAGGUAUUUCACCUGCAACAAUGUCGUUGAUGGAGCCACUCACAUCUGGAAGUGGUGGGAUGACGCGGUCAUGGAGGAGAUGAGGGACUUUCAGACGGAGAUAAGACGGCUUAAGGAAGCAGUUGCAGAGAGAGAGAAGAAGCUGCUGCUGCUAGAGAAGACUGUGUACGACGCAGGAAAGGAUACCACACGAGUUAAGCUAAUGGUGUGCCUGCUAGUGGUCAUAGGUUUGGUAAUCUUGGUUCUACAUGGUAAGUUCUCGACUUAUUAGGAUUUCAUUUUCAGUUUAUGCGUUUGUAUUAAAACAUUUGACUGCCUAAUGUUACUUGUUUGCAGGAGUAGCUUCAAAGGCUUCAAUGGGGGAGUGUUCUAUCACCUGUCCAAUGGCCAAAAAAGUAAAGGUACUCUGCUUUUCUUUUCUAUCACUUGACAAUGUAUAUUCCGUAAAAAAAAAAUUCAAAUAGUAUUGUAGAUUAAUUGAAUGGUUUUUGUAGGUAGAUAAAAAACUAAGACUGUAUUAAUAAAUGCUACUGAUUUGCUUUAUAUCUUCCCAACCCGUGUGAUUUGAUUGGUUUUAAAGGUUCUACGUUUAAAUUGCUGUAGAUUAAUUGAAUGGUGUUUGGUUAAAUAGCUGUUAUAGUACAUAGGAUUUAAUUUUGCUACUGAUUUUUGCCACUGAUUUUGAAUGGUGUUUGGUUAAAUUGCUUUUAGUUUGCUUCCUAUCUUCCUAACUGCUCAGAUUUGAUAGGCUUUUAUUGUAUAAUAAAUUGGAACAUGUAUUACUUAAGGCUAUUGCGAGGAAAACAUAUUCCUCGCAAAUCCAUUGUCGCAAAUUUGCGACGGAAGAUGUUUCCUCGCACAUUUGCGACGGAAGAUGUUUCCUCGCAAAUUUGCGACGGAAGAUGUUUCCUCGCAAAUUUGCUACGGAAAUGUUUCCUCGCAAAUUUGCGAUGGAAAAUGAUUUCUCGCAAAUUUGCGAUAGAUUUAAGAAACGCAGUUUCCUCGCAAUUUCUUGAAAAAUAUUUUUAAAAAAAAUUAUGAAAUUGAAAAAUAAAAUAAAUAUAUAGCAUAUAUAUAACUAACAAAUAAUUUCACUCUUACCGAAAAAUAUAUUAAUUGUAUAUAUAUGUGAAUAUGUGUACAUAAGAGAAUAUAUUAUGAAUAUUAUAAAUUUACAAAUACAUAUUCCUAUAUAUUAAACCGGUUUACAACUUUUUUUUUAUUUCUUUUUUUGUUGGCACCUCACACCUACCUGUUUAAAACUUAACCUAAUUUAAAAAAAAAAAGAAAAAAGAAAAAAAAACUAAUAAAAAAAAAAAAGACGCCGGCCGAUGUCCUUCCCAUGUCUCUAUCCUUGCUUCUUCUUCAUCACCGGCAAGAGUCACGAACGACGGCGAAAACUACAGAUUUCAGGGACUUGGUCAGAGGCGGUGAGUGAGGAAAGGCGGGAGAAUUCGGUGAAGAAGAGCGAGCUUCAGAUUUGGGAGGCGUUCACGAAUUUGGCAGUACAUCAAAGGAGGAGAUCUGGAUUCGUACAUGAGGAAGGGAGGCGUGGAAAAGAAGAUGAACGGUUAAAGGCUCGUGAAGGAUGAGAGAUAAGAAGAAAUUGUAGACUAGAUUAUGAGAUGCUAAGGAAAUAAAGAAGAAGAAUUGCAGAUGAGGAAGAGUUAAGCAAGAAGAAGUGUUAAGGAGGAGACUACGGGACGUGAAAGGAGGAGAGCAGAAGAUUAAAAAAAAGCAUCUGGACCAUUGAUUCAAAAUUAAUCAAUGGACACAGAUUACAAUCCUUGCAUUUAGAUAUUCCACCAAUGAGGAGGAGAGGCGGAUAUUGAAACGAAACAACAUCUGAACCAUUGAUUCAAGUUUAAUCAAUGGUCAUAGAUUGCAUCUAUGCAUUGACCAAUGAGAGUUUUACUUUUAAAAAAUUUAAAACAUUUUAGUUAAUGGUAGAUAAUUUAGUGGAUGUGUUUGAUUAUAUUUUGGC
This 4325-nucleotide long non-coding RNA is filed under the name Brassica napus (rape). RNAcentral's name for it is "long non-coding RNA (BNAP_LNC012840)". The record is from RNAcentral. Lineage: Eukaryota; Viridiplantae; Streptophyta; Magnoliopsida; Brassicales; Brassicaceae.